GACGAACGCUGGCGGCGUGCCUAAUACAUGCAAGUAGAACGCUGAAGAGAGGAGCUUGCUCUUCUUGGAUGAGUUGCGAACGGGUGAGUAACGCGUAGGUAACCUGCCUUGUAGCGGGGGAUAACUAUUGGAAACGAUAGCUAAUACCGCAUAACAAUGGAUGACACAUGUCAUUUAUUUGAAAGGGGCAAUUGCUCCACUACAAGAUGGACCUGCGUUGUAUUAGCUAGUAGGUGAGGUAAUGGCUCACCUAGGCGACGAUACAUAGCCGACCUGAGAGGGUGAUCGGCCACACUGGGACUGAGACACGGCCCAGACUCCUACGGGAGGCAGCAGUAGGGAAUCUUCGGCAAUGGGGGCAACCCUGACCGAGCAACGCAGCGUGAGUGAAGAAGGGUUUCGGAUCGUAAAGCUCUGUUGUAAGUCAAGAACGGGGGUGAGAGUGGAAAGUUCACACUGUGACGGUAGCUUACCAGAAAGGGACGGCUAACUACGUG
RNAcentral lists this ribosomal RNA (497 nucleotides) under uncultured bacterium. RNAcentral describes it as "partial 16S ribosomal RNA". It matches the Rfam family "Bacterial small subunit ribosomal RNA", at positions 28 to 507 of the family's 1533-position model. The record is from RNAcentral.